CCUACGGGAGGCAGCAGUGAGGAAUAUUGGUCAAUGGCCGUGAGGCUGAACCAGCCAAGUCGCGUGAGGGACGACGGUGCUAUGGAUUGUAAACCUCUUUUGUCGAGGAACAAAGUCGUCCACGUGUGGAUGAUUGAGGGUACCUGAAGAAAAAGCAUCGGCUAACUCCGUGCCAGCAGCCGCGGUAAUACGGAGGAUGCGAGCGUUAUCCGGAUUUAUUGGGUUUAACGGGUGCGUAGGCGGGCUGUUAAGGCGGCGGUAAAAUUGCGGGGCUAAACCACGGAGAGCGGUUGAAACUGGCUGUCUUGAGUGGGCGAGAGGUAUGCGGAAUGCGUGGUGUAGCGGUGAAAUGCUUAGAUAUCACGCAGAACUCCGAUUGCGAAGGCAGCAUACCGGCGCCUUACUGACGCUGAGGCACGAAAGCGUGGGUAUCGAACAGGAUUAGAUACCCUUGUAGUC
This 459-nucleotide ribosomal RNA is filed under the name uncultured bacterium. Its description in RNAcentral is "partial 16S ribosomal RNA". It matches the Rfam family "Bacterial small subunit ribosomal RNA", at positions 338 to 795 of the family's 1533-position model. The record is from RNAcentral.